GAGCCCGUGGCUCAAUGGUAGAGCGUUCGACUCAAAUACCAAAGGUCGCGGAGCGUUCGCCUCAAAUACCAAAGGUCGCGGGUUCG
RNAcentral lists this transfer RNA (86 nucleotides) under Schistocephalus solidus. Lineage: Eukaryota; Metazoa; Platyhelminthes; Cestoda; Diphyllobothriidea; Diphyllobothriidae. The record is from Rfam by way of RNAcentral.